Molecule: long non-coding RNA, 239 nt
Filed under: Carica papaya (papaya)
Lineage: Eukaryota; Viridiplantae; Streptophyta; Magnoliopsida; Brassicales; Caricaceae
Description: long non-coding RNA (CPAP_LNC008300)
Source: RNAcentral
UAAUGAUGGAUUAUUUAGAUUCUGGAACCGAAUUUGGGUCCCCGACACAGUACGCACAAAUGUACUCAAAACUGCCCAUGCUUUCAGUUGUUCAUUCUUCCCGGAAGUACCAAGAUUAUCGAAACUUGAAACGAUAAUAUUGGUGGCCAGGAAUAGAGAAGGAUAUAGUUGACUACGUCUCCCAAUGCCUUAUUUAUAACGGAUAAAGGUAGAAUAUUAAACACCAAGUGGCUUACUAC